Molecule: unclassified non-coding RNA, 218 nt
Filed under: Hevea brasiliensis (rubber tree)
Lineage: Eukaryota; Viridiplantae; Streptophyta; Magnoliopsida; Malpighiales; Euphorbiaceae
Source: RNAcentral
GCAGCAGAGGAAAAUCUUAUACAUCAAUACUAUAUAAUCUUUCAAAGUCCAUAUGAUCUGGAUUGAUUAUACAAUUUUGUGCUAGCAGAAUGGAAAACAUAAUGGAUGACAUCUAUUACAACUGAAAAAAAGGGACCGAGGCAAGCCAAGAAACCAUAUGACAUCCACAUAUACCAUGAAAAGGGCAAUUCAUUACCUUGCUAAAAUUCUGUCUAAAA